UACAGAGGUCCCAAGCGUUGUUCGGAUUCACUGGGCGUAAAGGGUGCGUAGGUGGUCGUUUAAGUCCGUUGUGAAAUCCCUGGGCUCAACCUGGGAAUGGCAGUGGAUACUGGACGGCUAGAAUGCGGUAGAGGGUAGUGGAAUUCCCGGUGUAGCAGUGAAAUGCGUAGAGAUCGGGAGGAACACCAGUGGCGAAGGCGGCUACCUGGACCAGCAUUGACACUCAAGCACGAAAGCGUGGGGAGCAAACAGG
Molecule: ribosomal RNA, 253 nt
Filed under: uncultured bacterium
Lineage: Bacteria
Description: partial 16S ribosomal RNA
Rfam family: Bacterial small subunit ribosomal RNA
Source: RNAcentral